CCGCUUAAACACCGGUGAGCCUCUCAACGGUUGGCCGAUGGGCCGGGCCGGCGCCGCAAGGCAAGGGCUGAGAGGUCAUUCACAUCGGCUGGGUGCCGGCCAUGUCGCUGGGCAGGCACCGAGACUCAGCGAAUCGGGGCUCGGGUAGCGUGCUGCUGCGCGACCCGGGCCCUCAAAUCCAAAUCAGACAGCUACGCAUGUAGAACCGUCCGGCGAAGGCUUGCGGACGGGGGUUCGAUUCCCCCCGGUUCCACCA
RNAcentral lists this transfer-messenger RNA (256 nucleotides) under Rubrivivax sp. RNAcentral's name for it is "partial transfer-messenger RNA". It matches the Rfam family "transfer-messenger RNA", at positions 121 to 374 of the family's 374-position model. From Rfam's summary of the family: Bacterial tmRNA, also known as 10Sa RNA or SsrA, is named for its dual tRNA and mRNA-like properties. Its role is to liberate the mRNA from a stalled ribosome. Lineage: Bacteria; Pseudomonadati; Pseudomonadota; Betaproteobacteria; Burkholderiales; Sphaerotilaceae. The record is from RNAcentral.